CAGUCGCCACGGUAAUACGUAGGUGGCAAGCGUUGUCCGGAAUUAUUGGGCGUAAAGGGCUCGCAGGCGGUUUCUUAAGUCUGAUGUGAAAGCCCCCGGCUCAACCGGGGAGGGUCAUUGGAAACUGGGAAACUUGAGUGCAGAAGAGGAGAGUGGAAUUCCACGUGUAGCGGUGAAAUGCGUAGAGAUGUGGAGGAACACCAGUGGCGAAGGCGACUCUCCGGUCUGUAACUGACGCUGAGGAGCGAAAGCGUGGGGAGCGAACAGGAUUAGAUACCCCUGUAGUCCCUGUCUCUUAUAC
Molecule: ribosomal RNA, 301 nt
Filed under: uncultured bacterium
Lineage: Bacteria
Description: partial 16S ribosomal RNA
Rfam family: Bacterial small subunit ribosomal RNA
Source: RNAcentral